RNAcentral lists this ribosomal RNA (520 nucleotides) under Klebsiella pneumoniae IS53. RNAcentral's name for it is "LSU rRNA". It matches the Rfam family "Bacterial large subunit ribosomal RNA", at positions 2411 to 2925 of the family's 2925-position model. Lineage: Bacteria; Pseudomonadati; Pseudomonadota; Gammaproteobacteria; Enterobacterales; Enterobacteriaceae. The record is from RNAcentral.
CAUAGUGAUCCGGUGGUUCUGAAUGGAAGGGCCAUCGCUCAACGGAUAAAAGGUACUCCGGGGAUAACAGGCUGAUACCGCCCAAGAGUUCAUAUCGACGGCGGUGUUUGGCACCUCGAUGUCGGCUCAUCACAUCCUGGGGCUGAAGUAGGUCCCAAGGGUAUGGCUGUUCGCCAUUUAAAGUGGUACGCGAGCUGGGUUUAGAACGUCGUGAGACAGUUCGGUCCCUAUCUGCCGUGGGCGCUGGAGAAUUGAGGGGGGCUGCUCCUAGUACGAGAGGACCGGAGUGGACGCAUCACUGGUGUUCGGGUUGUCAUGCCAAUGGCACUGCCCGGUAGCUAAAUGCGGAAGAGAUAAGUGCUGAAAGCAUCUAAGCACGAAACUUGCCCCGAGAUGAGUUCUCCCUGAGACUUUAAGUCUCCUGAAGGAACGUUAAAGACGAUGACGUUGAUAGGCCGGGUGUGUAAGCGCAGCGAUGCGUUGAGCUAACCGGUACUAAUGAACCGUGAGGCUUAACCUU